This 216-nucleotide unclassified non-coding RNA is filed under the name soil metagenome. RNAcentral's name for it is "partial contains 5.8S ribosomal RNA, internal transcribed spacer 2, and large subunit ribosomal RNA". The record is from RNAcentral.
AACCAUUCUCACCUGCGGCUAGACCUGCGGAAGGAUCAUUACAAGUGACCCCGGUCUAACCACCGGGAUGUUCAUAACCCUUUGUUGUCCGACUCUGUUGCCUCCGGGGCGACCCUGCCUUCGGGCGGGGGCUCCGGGUGGACACUUCAAACUCUUGCGUAACUUUGCAGUCUGAGUAAACUUAAUUAAUAAAUUAAAACUUUUAGCAACGGAUCU